This 74-nucleotide transfer RNA is filed under the name Brevundimonas sp. Its description in RNAcentral is "tRNA-Ala". It matches the Rfam family "tRNA". From Rfam's summary of the family: Transfer RNA (tRNA) molecules are approximately 80 nucleotides in length. Their secondary structure includes four short double-helical elements and three loops (D, anti-codon, and T loops). The record is from RNAcentral. Lineage: Bacteria; Pseudomonadati; Pseudomonadota; Alphaproteobacteria; Caulobacterales; Caulobacteraceae.
GGGGCCGUAGCUCAGUUGGUAGAGCGCGUCGUUCGCAAUGACGAGGUCAGGGGUUCGACCUCUCGGCUCCACCA